CUUCGGGUUCAGUUUUGGGUCCA
Molecule: non-coding RNA, 23 nt
Filed under: Arabidopsis thaliana (thale cress)
Lineage: Eukaryota; Viridiplantae; Streptophyta; Magnoliopsida; Brassicales; Brassicaceae
Source: RNAcentral